AGUAGAAUGGCUGAGUAAUAGGUGAUAGAUUGUAAAUCUAUUAAGGAGUUCAAAACUCUUCUACUA
This 66-nucleotide transfer RNA is filed under the name Blattella germanica (German cockroach). RNAcentral describes it as "tRNA-Tyr". It matches the Rfam family "tRNA". Rfam says of the family: Transfer RNA (tRNA) molecules are approximately 80 nucleotides in length. Their secondary structure includes four short double-helical elements and three loops (D, anti-codon, and T loops). Further hydrogen bonds mediate the characteristic L-shaped molecular structure. tRNAs have two regions of fundamental functional importance: the anti-codon, which is responsible for specific mRNA codon recognition, and the 3' end, to which the tRNAs corresponding amino acid is attached (by aminoacyl-tRNA synthetases). tRNAs cope with the degeneracy of the genetic code in two manners: having more than one tRNA (with a specific anti-codon) for a particular amino acid; and 'wobble' base-pairing, i.e. permitting non-standard base-pairing at the 3rd anti-codon position. The record is from RNAcentral. Lineage: Eukaryota; Metazoa; Arthropoda; Insecta; Blattodea; Blattellidae. RNAcentral also lists the same sequence under 1 other name.